RNAcentral lists this ribosomal RNA (392 nucleotides) under uncultured bacterium. RNAcentral's name for it is "partial 16S ribosomal RNA". It matches the Rfam family "Bacterial small subunit ribosomal RNA", at positions 523 to 918 of the family's 1533-position model. The record is from RNAcentral.
ACACGUCGGGGCCUGACGUUGUUCGGAAUCAUUGGGCGUAAAGGGCGCGCAGGCGGCCGUCCAAGUCCGGUGUUAAAUGGUCGGGCUCAACCCGAUCAUGCGCUGGAAACUGGGCGACUGGAGUCCCGGAGGGGAUGCCGGAAUUCCAGGGGUAGGGGUGAAAUCUGUAGAUCUCUGGAAGAACACCGAUGGCGAAGGCAGGCAUCUGGCCGGAGACUGACGCUGAGGCGCGAAGGCGCGGGGAGCGAACAGGUUUAGAUACCCUGGUAGUCCGCGCAGUAAACGAUGCGCACCAGGUGUCGGGCGGCAGCGCCCGGUACCGGAGCAAACGCGAUGAGUGCGCCGCCUGGGGAGUAUGCCCGCAAGGGUGAAACUUAAAGGAAUUGACGGGG